This 511-nucleotide ribosomal RNA is filed under the name uncultured bacterium. RNAcentral's name for it is "bacterial SSU rRNA". It matches the Rfam family "Bacterial small subunit ribosomal RNA", at positions 34 to 518 of the family's 1533-position model. The record is from RNAcentral.
CGCUGGCGGCGUGCCUAAUACAUGCAAGUCGAACGGUCUUUCUAUGGAAGCUUGCUUCCACUGAGAGAUAGUGGGGAACGGGUGAGUAACACGUGGGUAACCUGCCCAUAAGAGGGGGGAUAACAUCCGGAAACGGGUGCUAAUACCGCAUAGUUUUCUUGAUCGCAUGAUUGAGAAAGGAAAGACGGCCUUUGUGCUGUCGCUUAUGGAUGGACCCGCGGCGUAUUAGUUAGUUGGUGAGGUAACGGCUCACCAAGACGAUGAUACGUAGCCGACCUGAGAGGGUGAUCGGCCACAUUGGGACUGAGACACGGCCCAAACUCCUACGGGAGGCAGCAGUAGGGAAUCUUCCGCAAUGGACGAAAGUCUGACGGAGCAACGCCGCGUGAGUGAAAGAAGGUUUUCGGAUCGUAAAACUCUGUUGUCAGAGAAGAACAAGUUGGAGAGUAACUGCUCCAGCCUUGACGGUAUCUGACCAGAAAGCCACGGCUAACUACGUGCCAGCCGCGGC